GUGGGGAAUCUUGCGCAAUGGGCGAAAGCCUGACGCAGCCAUGCCGCGUGAAUGAUGAAGGUCUUAGGAUUGUAAAAUUCUUUCACCGGGGACGAUAAUGACGGUACCCGGAGAAGAAGCCCCGGCUAACUUCGUGCCAGCAGCCGCGGUAAUACGAAGGGGGCUAGCGUUGCUCGGAAUUACUGGGCGUAAAGGGCGCGUAGGCGGACAGUUUAGUCAGAGGUGAAAGCCCUGGGCUUAACCUUGGAAUUGCCAUUGAUAAUGGCUGUCUUGAGUACGGGAGAGGUGAGUGGAAAUCCGAGUGUAGAGGUGAAAUUCGUAGAUAUUCGGAAGAACACCAGUGGCGAAGGCGACUCACUGGCCCGUUACUGACGCUGAGGCGCGAAAGCGUGGGGAGCAAACAGGAUUAGAAACCCCUGUAGUCC
RNAcentral lists this ribosomal RNA (425 nucleotides) under uncultured bacterium. Its description in RNAcentral is "partial 16S ribosomal RNA". It matches the Rfam family "Bacterial small subunit ribosomal RNA", at positions 354 to 796 of the family's 1533-position model. The record is from RNAcentral.